RNAcentral lists this small RNA (28 nucleotides) under Bombyx mori (domestic silkworm). Its description in RNAcentral is "ovarian small RNA-18995". Lineage: Eukaryota; Metazoa; Arthropoda; Insecta; Lepidoptera; Bombycidae. The record is from RNAcentral.
UAACUCUCGUAGCGGCGCCAUCUCAUCU